RNAcentral lists this ribosomal RNA (440 nucleotides) under uncultured bacterium. RNAcentral's name for it is "bacterial SSU rRNA". It matches the Rfam family "Bacterial small subunit ribosomal RNA", at positions 338 to 773 of the family's 1533-position model. The record is from RNAcentral.
CCUACGGGGGGCUGCAGUCGAGGAUCUUCGGCAAUGGGCGCAAGCCUGACCGAGCGACGCCGCGUGUGGGAUGAAGGCCUUCGGGUUGUAAACCACUGUCAGAGGGGAUGAAAUGCACAAGGGUUCUCCCUUGUGCUUGACAUAUCCUCAGAGGAAGUACGGGCUAAGUUCGUGCCAGCAGCCGCGGUAAGACGAACCGUACAAACGUUAUUCGGAAUUACUGGGCUUAAAGGGUGCGUAGGCGGCGCGGUAAGUUGGGUGUGAAAUCCCUCGGCUCAACCGAGGAAUUGCGCUUGAUACUGCCGUGCUUGAGGGAGACAGAGGUGAGCGGAACUUAGGGUGGAGCGGUGAAAUGCGUUGAUAUCCUAAGGAACACCAGUGGCGAAAGCGGCUCACUGGGUCUCUUCUGACGCUGAGGCACGAAAGCUAGGGGAGCGAAC